Long non-coding RNA from Rosa rugosa (rugosa rose), 653 nucleotides. RefSeq lists it as uncharacterized. NCBI's taxonomy places the organism in Eukaryota, Viridiplantae, Streptophyta, Magnoliopsida, Rosales, Rosaceae. The transcript is spliced from 8 exons. The record is from RefSeq and is a predicted model, not a curated record.
AAUCCUGAGAGAGUUCAAGAACGAUCCAGAGAACCACGAAGAGGAUUAGUGACUUAGUGAGUGAGAGAGAGGUGAAAUUCAGGAAAGAUAAAAGAAUUCCUCUCAGCACGACGUUAGUUGCUCUUCAUCCCGAGACUGAUCGGAGAGGCACACAGAGAAAGAAGUGGGAGAGGGAUCUGGGUUUUGACUUAGCCCCAAAUUUCUAAUCGGAGAGGCACACAGACUGAAGCGGUAUUGUUUGUGCUCGAGUUUGGGAUUUGAGUGAUCGAUUCGAAAAGGUUCAAGUUUGGAUUCUGGACGGUUGAUUGAAAAAAUUACAAGACAUAAUAUGACGAAUCUCGGUGUUUGGAUUUUGAUUUGAGGAAGCUGAAAACUUAUCUGGCCAAUUCGGAUUUGAGGUUGUGAUAACUUGAUCACUUGAUCAAUAUAAGAUGUCUCCAGCCAAUUCGGAUUUGGAUUUGAGGUUGCUGAUAACUUGCUUCAUAAAGCCACUAGGAAUCUAGAAAGCAGAGACAAGAAAGAUAUUCAAGGGAGGCUUGACAAAGAACAAGCAGUUCUUUACUUUGCUUAACUCACCGGCAUUGGUUUCACAUACUACUGCUGAAAGUUAAUUUCUGUGUUGAAAGUCUGGUUUUAUUUGGUGUCAGGCUAUC